Molecule: ribosomal RNA, 484 nt
Filed under: uncultured bacterium
Lineage: Bacteria
Description: partial 16S ribosomal RNA
Rfam family: Bacterial small subunit ribosomal RNA
Source: RNAcentral
AUUGAACGCUGGCGGCAGGCCUAACACACGCAAGUCGAGCGGAUGAAGGGAGCUUGCUCCUGGAUUCAGCGGCGGACGGGUGAGUAAUGCCUAGGAAUCUGCCUGGUAGUGGGGGAUAACGUCCGGAAACGGGCGCUAAUACCGCAUACGUCCUGAGGGAGAAAGUGGGGGAUCUUCGGACCUCACGCUAUCAGAUGAGCCUAGGUCGGAUUAGCUAGUUGGUGGGGUAAAGGCCUACCAAGGCGACGAUCCGUAACUGGUCUGAGAGGAUGAUCAGUCACACUGGAACUGAGACACGGUCCAGACUCCUACGGGAGGCAGCAGUGGGGAAUAUUGGACAAUGGGCGAAAGCCUGAUCCAGCCAUGCCGCGUGUGUGAAGAAGGUCUUCGGAUUGUAAAGCUCUUUAAGUUGGGAGGAAGGGCAGUAAGUUAAUACCUUGCUGUUUUGACGUUACCAACAGAAUAAGCACCGGCUAACUUCGUG